Non-coding RNA from Sus scrofa (pig), 4356 nucleotides. Lineage: Eukaryota; Metazoa; Chordata; Mammalia; Artiodactyla; Suidae. The record is from RefSeq and is a predicted model, not a curated record.
CUGGCGCCAUUGUGUUUCCUUUACUCUUCGCUCCUCCAGUGGGCGCCUGCUUAAUCGGAGGCCCCAGCGGCGAUGAGAGGUGACGCUAGGCGUCCUCUGGCCUUGGGCAUUUGCGGAGGGCGGGGCUCUUUUCAUCCUCCCGCUUAUUUUUGCGUUGUCGGCUCGCGGUAGUGGGAAUCGGCGGCUUCUGGGCCUAGUUGAACUUUUCUCAUUUCGGCCUUCCCACUAUUAUUUAGAGCGUUUUAAUUGUUUAGGAAUGGUGUCAAUGUGUUUUUCGGAAAGGGGGUGAGGCCUGAAGAGUAACGCAAUGGUGACGAAGGUUUUACUUAUUAACUGGAAAGAGGAUUCAUCUUAGUUAUUGGCCUGCUUUUCAUUCAUUGUUUGUUGGGGAGAUGAAUUUUUCCCGGUCUGGCAUUUCUCUAGACCCCUCCCCCCGCCAUAAGUUACCCAAGGCCUUUAAACGCCAGAAGGCGGUUACUGAGGAGUGGGAGGCUGGAGUGCUGGGGAGAGCUCUUCUGUCAGAAACUAGUAUUUCUUUUCCUCUCCUGUUCCUCGAGCCUCCACUCUCCCCUGUCUUAUUCUGUGUGAACCCAGCCGGAGACGCCUCCCCUUCUCCCCCUGCCGGCCCAGUUAUGGCAGAGAACGAUGUGGACAAUGAGCUCUUGGAUUAUGAAGACGAUGAGGUGGAGACAGCAGCUGGGGGAGAUGGGGCUGAGGCCCCUGCCAAGAAGGAUGUCAAGGGCUCCUAUGUCUCCAUCCACAGCUCUGGCUUUCGUGACUUCCUGCUCAAGCCAGAGUUGCUCCGGGCCAUUGUUGACUGUGGCUUUGAGCAUCCAUCAGAAGUUCAGCAUGAAUGCAUCCCUCAGGCCAUCCUGGGAAUGGAUGUCCUAUGCCAGGCCAAGUCAGGCAUGGGGAAGACAGCGGUGUUUGUGCUGGCUACACUGCAACAGCUGGAGCCAGUUACUGGGCAGGUGUCUGUACUGGUGAUGUGUCACACUCGGGAGUUGGCUUUUCAGAUCAGCAAGGAGUAUGAGCGCUUCUCUAAAUACAUGCCCAAUGUCAAGGUCGCAGUGUUUUUUGGUGGUCUGUCUAUCAAGAAGGAUGAAGAGGUGCUGAAGAAGAACUGCCCGCAUAUUGUCGUGGGGACCCCUGGCCGCAUCCUAGCCCUGGCUCGAAAUAAGAGCCUCAACCUCAAACACAUUAAACACUUUAUCUUGGAUGAAUGUGACAAGAUGCUUGAACAACUCGACAUGCGUCGGGAUGUCCAGGAAAUUUUUCGCAUGACCCCCCACGAGAAGCAGGUCAUGAUGUUCAGUGCUACCUUGAGCAAAGAGAUUCGUCCAGUCUGCCGCAAGUUCAUGCAAGACGUAAAUACCCUUCUACCUUCUCUCCCUCCACUCCCCGCCCGCUGCCUCCUCCCCUUCCGCGCCCUCUUCCUCCAGACUCCCUUGUCCUUCAGUCGCCAAGAAGGGGGCAUGUGCCCAUGUGAGAGGGCUGACUCCUUGAAGAGACACACAGAGGCAGAGACAGUUAGUGUUAGGGUCUGCGCGGCGCCAGGGAAACUCCGGAAGACUUGGUCGGGUUAAUGUGAGAGCGGGUAGCGUUCGACUUUUUUUUUUUUUUCCAAUCACAGCAUUUUUGAACCUCUUCUCCCUCUUGGGGGAGGGCAGGAUUUUCUGCCCUACCACCCACCCAUCGUCUCCUACAUACCCCCUACAGCCACGCACCCUCAAGGUGGCAUCGAGCAUACAGCCGGAGCCUUCUGCUCCCCAAACUCGUAACCUCCCGGUGGCAGGAGAGCAAGAGAGGGACAGACAGUUGGCAGGGCCUGUCCAAAAGAAGAGCGAACAGCGCAAAUGAAUCCACUCCCUCCCCACCUCCAGGGGUGGGGGCCUUUGGCACCUCAGUCCCCGAGUCCCUACUCCUUCCCAUCCGUACCUCCUCGCACCCGUCCGGAACCUCGGUCGAUGUGAGCCGGCAGCAGAGAAGCAUCGUGGCGCGGCGGGGGAAUGCGACGGCACCGGCGGUGGAUGGCGGCAGCGGAAGCCGCGGGGAACCUGACCAGGAAGCUGAGGACCAAACCAGCCUCUUUUUCCGUUCCCGGUUUUUUUCCUGAACCCAAGGCGUGCCGUGCUCCUUGUUUCCCUCCAUUUGUGUUUGGGGGUGGGGGGUGUUCUGAAUGGGGUGGUAGAUUUUUUUUUUUUUUCUUUUUUUUAAACAUUUUUUUAAUACUGAGAGGGAUAUGGGAAAGGUAAAGUGAGGAGCUCCACUUGGAUGUGACCAGGUGGGUGUUAGGGUCUGGGACUAAGUGGGUCAGCUGUAGAAGCAGUGGAGUGUGCUCUUUCCCUCCCUGCUCUGCUCUCCCUGUGGGACGAUAACUCACUGUUUAGCUAUAUUUGGGGCUCAAGUUAGAUUUGAAGGAGGCCAUGGAGCUUCUCUUUGGAAAGACUGCCUUUGCUAGUCUGCCUUUGGGGAUUGGGCUUCUGGUGUUCUCCCAUGACAUAUCCUUUCCUGAAAUCUUAAACCCUGGAUCCUUCAUGUUAAGCCAUGUCCCCAAGUUAGGAGUGCUAGGAAAGUUGGGCUUUAGAGUUGAAUCUUGUGUUGGUUCCCACCUUUUUUUAUGCUAUCUUCCUUCCCUUUAAGGGUUGUGUGGUUUUUUGGGUUUUUUUUUUUAAGAUGAGUAACUGCUGCUCUGAAUUUGACUUCUUAGCACCACUUACUGAUACCUUCCAUAUGACACUGUAGUUGGUUUGAUUCUUAGUUCAAAGACCAGUCUUGUCUAAAAGUACAACUUUGUGGUCUGAGGGCAGGUUGUUACUCAUCUUACGUGAUUUUUGUCUUUUUGUGGCAUUUUGAUUUACAUCCAUUGAAACAUUCCGAUCUUUAAGAUGCCCACCUUUCUAAUGAGGAUAUGAUUCUCCUAGUGUAGAGAUUACUCAAAUGGAGCAGUCCUUAUCCUCUCUCCCAUAUUAUGACCAGCUUGGAUAGAGUUACUCAGACCUUGAGUCGCUGUUUCCCAUCAUUUCCCAGGUGUUUGGUUCAUGUUGUCUUCUGAAAAUCACUUCCCAUUGUUUUCUUUCCUCCACCACCUCCAUUUGAGGUAAUGGCACCUUGCCAUUGGGUGGUUACGCUGUGCCUUUUCCUCCCUGCAGAGUUCCUUUCCCAUGACACUUUUCAGUUGGGCCGUCUUAAAACUCAACUGAUGGGGAGGAAAUUAACUUAAUUUGGGAAAGACCACAUUAAAAUAGGUAUUUUUGGGGGUGGGGUUGGGUUUUCAAUCUUCUCUCUCCUCCCCAUCCCCCCAUGGGGUGUAUUGGAGAUCAACUUCCUCCACCCCCCCAGGUUUAACCCCCCCACUCUGCCCUCCUCCCGUUCCCCACCCCCUCCCUCCCCCCUCCCCCCAGCCAAUGGAGAUCUUCGUGGAUGAUGAGACGAAGCUGACGCUGCAUGGGUUGCAGCAGUACUACGUGAAACUGAAGGACAACGAGAAGAACCGGAAGCUCUUUGAUCUUCUGGAUGUCCUUGAGUUCAACCAGAAUAUCUGUCUGCUCAGGAAAAAUCAGAGGCGAGAGGGAAAGGCUAAGUUAUAUUUAGAGCAGAAGAGGAAAUAUGUGAUGAGGACUAAGAGGAAUUCUUUUAGAGAACUUGCACAUAAUCUCUGUCACUCAUCCCCUCACGGAUGCGCGUCUCCCCCCAGUCUCUCACAUACACACACAUGCGCGCACACAGGUGGUGAUAUUUGUGAAGUCUGUGCAGCGCUGCAUUGCCCUGGCCCAGCUCCUGGUGGAGCAGAACUUCCCAGCCAUUGCCAUCCACCGUGGGAUGCCCCAGGAGGAGAGGCUUUCUCGGUAUCAGCAGUUUAAAGAUUUUCAACGACGAAUUCUUGUGGCUACCAACCUGUUUGGCCGAGGCAUGGACAUCGAGCGGGUGAACAUUGCCUUCAACUACGACAUGCCUGAGGAUUCUGACACCUACUUGCAUCGGGUGGCCAGAGCCGGCCGAUUUGGCACCAAGGGCUUGGCCAUCACAUUUGUGUCAGAUGAGAAUGAUGCCAAGAUCCUCAAUGACGUGCAGGAUCGCUUUGAAGUCAAUAUUAGUGAGCUGCCUGACGAGAUAGACAUUUCCUCCUACAUUGAACAGACGCGGUAGAGGACUCACCCACCAUUCGGGAAUGAGAAAGUCUAUCCCUCUGCAGGAGAUGACACCAAGCAUGGGGGUGAAGGAGACACUACUGCCACCUACCCCUGACAACCCCUAACCCCCAACCCAUGGCUUCCCUCUUUUGCAUCACCACCACUCCUAAACCCCCAUUUCCCGAUUUGUCAGAAAUUUUUUUAACAAAACUAAAAAACACAA